Molecule: ribosomal RNA, 445 nt
Filed under: uncultured bacterium
Lineage: Bacteria
Description: partial 16S ribosomal RNA
Rfam family: Bacterial small subunit ribosomal RNA
Source: RNAcentral
GUAGGGAAUAUUGGACAAUGGGCGAAAGCCUGAUCCAGCCAUGCCGCGUGAUAGAUGAAUGCCCUCUGGGUUGUAAAUAUCUUUUAUCUGGGAAGAAACUCCUCUAUUCUUAGAGGCCUGACGGUACCAGAGGAAUAAGCACCGGCUAACUCCGUGCCAGCAGCCGCGGUAAUACGGAGGGUGCAAGCGUUAUCCGGAUUCACUGGGUUUAAAGGGUGAGUAGGCGGGUUGAUAAGUAAGUGGUGAAAGCUCCGGGCUUAACUUGGAAACUGCCAUUGCUACUGUCAAUCUUGCAUGUCGUAGAGGUAAGCGGAAUGUUGCAUGUAGCGGUGAAAUGCUUAGAUAUGUUACAGAACACCAAUUGCGAAGGCAGCUUACUAUGCGAUAAUUGACGCUGAGGCACGAAAGCGUGGGGAGCAAACAGGAUUAGAAACCCGAGUAGUCC